This 411-nucleotide ribosomal RNA is filed under the name Triticum aestivum (bread wheat). RNAcentral's name for it is "partial small subunit ribosomal RNA". Lineage: Eukaryota; Viridiplantae; Streptophyta; Magnoliopsida; Poales; Poaceae. The record is from RNAcentral.
AUGGUGAAGGGACGCACCGGCCAGCGUGUGAGGCUCUACGUCCGCGGCACCAUCCUCGGAUACAAGAGGUGAGAAGCUCCCUCCACCGGUGCAGCUCUGCUCCUUCUCCCUCGCGUGGUGAACACCAGGGAGGAUGUGGCCUGGUACGGCGGCAAGAGGAUGGCCUGCGUCUACAAGGCCAAGACCAAGAACGACACCAACUACCACUACAUCUGGGGCAAGGUCUCCCUCUCCCACGGAAACACUAGCGUCAUCCGCGCCAAGUUCACCCUCGCUGAGGCCAUGGUGAGUUGUUGGGUCGAACUUCUCCGGUUGUCUGUUUCGGUGGCAUGCAUAAGAUUUAAACAAACUAAAUUGAGCUAUAUACCUUCUGUGAUAUCUAGUUCUAUGCCACUAUUUAUGGAGUUGUGA